GGAAGGAAAGAAGGAAAUAAGGAAAGAAGGAACGAAGGGUUGCUAAAUCCUGUUCCAUUUUAGCAAUAUGUAAUAUUUAUCAACAGAUACAUGAGCUAGUGGGGAAAAACGCUCUGCCUGUAUUACGAAGAGAUUAUUUUCCAAUAACACUUUACUUUUUAUGUGUAAUACUUAUUUAUCAUAGUUUGUAAUAUGUUUGUGUCAUUUAUAUCUAAGUGUGUACUACUAAUCAUUGUAAUAAUCACUUAACCCAGAAAAUAUUUUUUUAAAAUUGAGAAUAUUAUAGUCAAAUAGAAUUAAAAAUUAAGUUUAAAUUUCAAUUUAUAUACUCACUUUGUUGCAGAUGGUAACCAAUAAAAUAUUUUCAAGCAUAAAAAUAUUACAUUAGGGUAAUAUUUUGAGAAGGAAGUAGAAUGGGAACAGAAGUUUAUGUAGGAAAAGAAAUGAUGCAAAAUAUCUGUAAAACAAAAGUUUGUUCUUGUACUUGUGAAAUGUAUGAUGAUGGGUAGAAAACUGCUAUAGUAUUUAAAAGAUAACAUAAAAGUGGUGUUUGGUUGGUCAUAAAAAGUAUAACUGAUGCAUAAUAUCUGAAAUUACAUACUGUAUAAUCAUUUAAAUUUAAGAUAAAAAUUUUAGAUGUGAACUUAAAAAUGUGCGUGGAGUACGUAGGUUUUCAGUGUUCUUUAGGUGGCGCAUAAGUGAAAAGUGAAGACCAUUAGUCCUCAAGAGAGUACCAUCUCCAUCCAAUCCCCAAAACUUCCCUUCUCUCUCCACUGUGGUUUCUACCAAUUCCUCUGGAUGGUGUGGGAAAAAAAAAGUAUGAGAGGAAGCAAAGGCUUUGUUGACACAUCAAAGAAUCCUUUUGAAACACUAAAUGUGAAAUAAGGAUCUCCAUUUCCCAGAGGUAUAUCCACAUUUCUAGAGGCCCCACAGGGUACAUGCAAGCCCUAAUUAAAUGCAACACGUCUGUGGGUGAUACUGAUUAUUUGUCAACAUGAGGAGAAACUAAGGAAGUUCCAGUAACUUUCCCCAAGGCAUCUUCCUAGCAAUAGAUAUUCAAAACAUUCACUGGCUCUGGAAUGGAGGAAGCAGGUUAAAUAUUUUGCUCCUAAGGUCCAUAGUUUCAGACCCCUAACCUUCCGAAGUUAGAAGUUGUUACAGGAUAUGUUUUGUUGUGUGCUAAUCACUUCUCAUCAGAUACUGGAAGAGCCCUCCCGUGGCCCUAAUGUGUUCUGAACUCAAGAAAUUCUAUAAAAAGCUCAAGUUGAAUAAUCAGGGAAGAAAACCCAAAAGUUUCAAUUAUUAAAACUUAAGAAACUAUUUGAAGAUUGAUUUAAUGCUGGUUAUGCAAUCUCCCAAGGAACAUUUCCAUCAAUAUAAUCUUACAAAAUUCCUCUUGAUUACAAUCUGUAGGUUUGAUUGGACAAUGUUUCCUUCAACAGGACUGCCUAGCAUUUUAGAACAAUUUUCAGUCAUCUAAACAGGAGCACUCAAAAUUAGUCCUUCAGAUACAGAGGUAAUCUAAAGGAAGAAAUAACAAAACAAAACAAUAACAAUAAACUCCCUUUUGGUAAACAGAACAUUUUUAGUUAGAUGGCUGCAUCUUAAAGAGGUGGUCAGCUGGCUCCAGUAUAUUUUAGCAAGUAUUGGUAUUUAUUAUACAAAGUUAAUCCAAUGCUUAAUACCAACCACUUACGUUUUAAUUUGGAAUUACUGUCGCUGCUGUGUACAUGACUAAAACAGUAAUUAAGAGUCAGCAGGGCUCAUGAACAAUUAGAUUAAAAUGUUGCUGAGGUGUAAUAUAUAAAGUAGUCCCCCUAAUUAGAGAUACCCCCAUUGUGAAUGAGCAGCCACAUGAGUCAUCACCUCAGGUAUGAGAGAGGGAUGAGAGGAAGGAUGAGAAAGGUGCAAAUUCAUGGCCUCCUUAAGGCCAAAUGUCUUUUACUGCACUGUUGGUAACAUGCUGGUGAUGACCUAGAGGCAAGAAUCUCUUACAUGGAAAACAUGUCUUUUUCUAUGCCCCUUUGCUAAGGGCAGACAGCUUUCUACAGCUACUUCUCCAUGCCUUUAGGUGGGGAGUGGUUUUUCUGGCAUUCCUAAUUGGAAUUCAUAAUAUAUUUUUCCAUGGCAACAUCGCAGAAAGUAUAGGUGUAAUUAGUUUGUAUUUUAAUAGUAAACUUCAGCUUUGCAGAACGCUCGGAUUUUUGUUACUCUAGCUGGAUGAACUUUGCUUGGAGCUGAAUGCAUACUCCUUUCAAAUGCGUAGUCAAUGCUAUUUUCUUUUAAAUGUUAGCAAUUUAGGUAUCAAGUUUUCUAAAAUGCACAAUUGUGAGUUGUUUUAAAAAGCACGAUUUUGUCGGCUGUGGGAUGGUUAUUGUAAUUCUUACAAGGAGAUAUAACACAGUGAUGCUCUCAGGAAGUCUACAGGUAAGCAGCACUGCCUACCUUAUUGGAAAAGGUGAUAGACAACUGUGCUUUGACUUGUCUGCCUUCUCUGUCCUAUCCUGCCUUCAGGCUGUCAGCAAUCACAUCUUGAUUUUUUUCUGCAGGCCUCCUUUUACCAUCCUUCGUCACCCUUCAAAUCCAAUCGAACAUCAUCUGGAUUCAACUGACCGCAAGGGGAAAAGUUUACUUCCAGAAAAUUAUGCCAGGAGCAACUUCUUAUUUCCUCAUUUCUAGCAUGUACUUUUCUGCAAAUACGUCAAUAUGUCUGAAAUCAGGAUGUGAAAAUGAUUCAUACAUUUAAUGCAAUAGUCUUUUUCCCCUUAAAUGCUGUUAUUAAAUUCAUGGGGUAAUCAUACAGCAUCUUAAAAUUGAAAAGCUAUAUUAUUUUUUUUUCAGAUGAUAAAUGCCUUCAAAACUUUCAAGUUAACCAUUUUAAGGGUCUAGAAAAUAAUUCUUUUUUUUUGUUUGUUUGAGAUGGAGUUUCACUCUUGUUGCCCAGGCUGGAGUGCAAUGGUGUGAUCUUGGCUCACCACAACCUCUGCCUCCCAGGUUCAAGUGAUUCUCCUGCCUCAGCCUCCCAAGUAGCUGGGAUUACAGGCAUGCACCAGCACACCAAGCUAAUUUUUUAUUUUUGAUAGAGACAGGGUUUCUUCAUGUUGGUCAGGCUGGUCUCAAACUCUCAACCUCAGGUGAUCCACCCACCUUGGCCUCCCAAAGUGCUGGGAUUACAGGCGUGAGCUACCAUGCCUGGCCUAGAAAAUGAUUCUUAAAUGCUUCUCCAACAUGUUUCUGACCUGGGCUCCAUCUUUGAUAUAUCGAUUCUCCACCCAUAAUGCCACUGGAAAUAAGAGCACAGCCGAGACAGCCAAUAGCUGGAUCCUUUACUUCUGAGAUUAAAUCCCUAAGGAUCAGCUAGGGUCUGUGUCACAGAUCCAACAUUCCUUGCAUGGAUUUGCUACAGUAGAACAUAACCCAUUUGAAGCAAGUGUAAUCUGAAAACAUUCAAUAUGUGGUGAAAGUCAUAUUUUGUUGUUUUCAUAGUUUCAGUUUAACAUUAGCAGAUCAUCUAGUUUUUAUUAAUGAGACAGUAAACUUUAACAUAAAUGGAUGGGUCAUUUCAUAGUUUUAUAAAGGUACUUAAAUUUUCCCAACAUUUUCCUCAUCUGUAAUGUGAAAUUAGUAGUACCUACAGUAUAUAGGUGCUCUAAAGUUUGUUACCCAUUGAAAAAAAUUGUCCCCAAAUUCUUUGUAGAAUAAA
Macaca mulatta (Rhesus monkey) is the source of this 3703-nucleotide long non-coding RNA. The record is from Ensembl. Lineage: Eukaryota; Metazoa; Chordata; Mammalia; Primates; Cercopithecidae.